CUCAGCCACAAGUGCUUGUCCCCAUUCUGUCCUCUGUAUUUUGCACAGCUGCAGGAAAAGAAGAAAGGAACUGAUCAAGCUGAGAAAACAAUCUUCCUUUUAGUCCUUGUUCUUCCUGAUGACAAGGGUCCACUACACCAUAUGCACACAAUGGUGCCCAGGUUUGGACUCUACAGGAAAUUUCAAUGUGCUAACAGUUGGCACUUUAUUUGUGGACACACCCUUUACUUCCAAAUGCACAGCACUUCAGCUUCAGGACUUCCUGACACCCUUCUUUGUUCUGGACAGAAGUCCCACUUCAUUGUCAAGAAACAAAUGUAUAGGGGCUGACUGUCUUCAUUAGCUGCUGUUGGUUAAGAUUUGACUCUGUCACUCAUUCAGAACAGAAGUUAUGGACACAGGAAGCAGUAUUCUAUGAAGGAAAUGUGCCCUUGAGGAGGCCUAGGUUGGAUAUUGUAGGAAGGUUUCUCAGGAAACUCACAACCUAAUUAUAGAAAGGUAAGCCAGAAUCAAAAGCACAACAAACAGGUGGAGAGGAAGGAUGAAAAAAACCACAAUGAGAGCAUAUUUGUUUUACUGCUAGACUUAUUGGAAUUCUGAAAUAAAUGACAGUUUAUGUGCUGGAGUGAGUAUAAG
This 636-nucleotide long non-coding RNA is filed under the name Cyanistes caeruleus (blue tit). Its description in RNAcentral is "lncRNA (ENSCCEG00000009852.1)". Lineage: Eukaryota; Metazoa; Chordata; Aves; Passeriformes; Paridae. The record is from RNAcentral.